Cygnus olor (mute swan) is the source of this 5163-nucleotide long non-coding RNA. RefSeq lists it as uncharacterized. The record is from RefSeq and is a predicted model, not a curated record. NCBI's taxonomy places the organism in Eukaryota, Metazoa, Chordata, Aves, Anseriformes, Anatidae. The transcript has 2 exons.
UUUAAGGUAACCAGAAUUUAUUCUUACAUCCUCUUGCUCAUCUCACUCGCUCUCAUGCACACCCACCCACACACAUACCCCUAGUUUCCUGUGAGAAUCAUUAGGCAGGCAUGAUAGGAUAUUCUUUCUCGUUAUCUUGAUAGCACCCCCAGAAAAGUCUUGGAAGCCAAUUUUGCUGGAGCUUGAGAAGACUUUUUGCCACUUGCUGCUGAAAACAUGUUGUGUGUGAUGCAAAACAUCAUUUAAGGACUUCCUUUAAAUAAUUAGGCAACGUAUGCUUUUAUGUGUCUUAUAUAGCGUAGGGCAUCAUGUGGUAAUGUUCUAAAAGCCAGGAGAGGUCUGAAAUGGAUAUCCCAAGUAAAUGUGGCAGUGGUUUCUACUUAGGGCCGUUGUUCGUUCACAUCUGUUCUUAUUGAUAGCUUAAUUAGUGUGCGCUUUUAUAAUCCAGUACUGCACUUUUAUUAGGAGAGAAGAACAAAUUGCUCGCUCAUGUGAUCUCCUUCAGAAGAGCAAGGCAUCUUUUGUUGCAAUGCUGCUGUUCGUUUGAUCUGCCUUUACUAGUUUUUAGGAAGUGUCUUUCUUGCUUCUCUUAAUUGGAGCGGGAAAGCAGCUAUUCAUCAGUGUGUUUGCAACUGGAGUAAAUGAUAACAAGUUCAAUAAACUAGUUUUAUGGUCUUUAUUGUCUGCACAACAACCCCGCCAGCUUUUCCCGUGCUUAUUUAGCAUUAUGUUCGUUCAUCAAAGAAUCAGCUGAAUUAAUGGAAAAUUAUUUGUAGCAUCUGGAAAUUUUUACACACACUUUCCUUCAGGCAUAGCUCUGGUGUCAUCAUUGCUAUCGUAUGUCAACUUCAGCUAUUUCGUUAGUGCUGCAAAUUAAAUGUAUAAAAACAUGCUUUUUUCCCCAACGUGGAUUGAAAAAGUAUUUUGUGAAUCUGAAGUCUUUUCACCAAGAUAAAGUAAAAAGUCUGAUCAAUGCAGUUGUUUAGUAGCUGAAGUUCCUCUACGCACAGAGUGUAGUAUGAACAGCUGAGAGGUAACCUUGUCAGCUGUCCCUGGCGAUGCUGUCACUGUUUGUAAAUCUUUCACGAUUAAACUGAAAGAGUCCAUUCCGCUGCUCUCUUUUAACCAACAUAAGGUCAUUUCCACUUGCCCUGGGGAAAGGGCCGUUUAAUUACUGGCCUGGAUGCUCUGGACAGGCAUCCCAAGGUGUUUUGUGUGUCUGCUUGUGUGGAUCUGGCAGAGGGAGGGGAGUACCCAUACUCUGUCACAUGCCUGGUGCAUCUACUCCAGCUUUCAAGGUUAAGAAUGAGGCUUGUCAGAACUUUUGGCUCCUUUUACCAUAUUCACAAAUCUGUGUUGCUUUUACGAGCUGGCGAUGCCUUCAGGGCUCUGAAGAAGUAAGGAGGAAGUACUGUGGAAGGCUGCACUCCUGAUCAUCACUAACUGGAACUGUGUGGUGACAGCCUUCCAGGCAGGUGCUUUAGGUGAGUUGAAGAGUGCUGGUUGAGAUAGCUGCUGUGGUACUGUUUGGGUCAUGAGAAUUAUUCGCUCUUUCAUUUCAGGUUCUGCCACUGACUUGCUCUAUGUUGGGCACCUUUCUCAGCAUCUCAGAUGAUCUGUUAGCAUCAUGGAUAUAAACCUGUGUGUACUUGUUCACCAAACACCCUAGUGCUACCGUCUUGUUGAAUGCAAAUGGUUUGCUCAUGGAUUCUUUCUGGUUUUGGCCAUGUGACAUACUGUAGCCAAGUAGGUGAAUGAUGGAAUUGGCAUUUGUCUUUGCCCUUGGGCCCAUUCCCUUCAUGAAUUUUCAAGAUAAUUGAUCAAGAAGGCCUCUAGCAUACCGUGAUGAAUACCUUCCUUUGAAUGCCUUGCAGAGUGUGCAUAAUGUGUUCCACUGCAAGUAUCCAGGGGUUGUCUACGAACACGUUGUGCUGCCUUAAAUGUACAAUUACAUUAUUAAGUAUAAUACCAUCUAUUAUUAUGGUAUUAUAAUAGUCAUGCAGUUAGUGUAAUGUUAUUUUGUGGUUAUUUCUGUCUAGAAAUAAACUAUGCUGAUAUAAACAGUUUCAUAAUACUAAAACUGUUGCAGUUGAAAGAAGACCUUUUGUUACCAGACUCUAUUUGCAAACCAAGUCCUACUUUUAAUAUACGGGCUUCCUGAAUUCUCUUUAAAACGUGUUAUAAGUCCUUAAAAAUACUUCUAUUCAUUACCUUGCUUUUUGAUGAGAACGAAAACGUUUCAGCAUUUCAGGGGAAACAAUUUUCGGUAGCCAAACCUUUCCCUGUUGACACAGUGGAAGGGUGGCACUUUCAAAUGAAUAGCUCUCAGAACAUUUUGACAAGAUGAUAAAAGAUACUGUCUGUGGGCUUAACUCGGCUGUAUUUAGUGUUUGUAUUAUUCUCUAUGUGAACACACGCACAUUUCCUGAAGGGUUUCUAAAUCCAGUCACCAAGUAUCACAAAACGUCCUGUCAGAACAUGUAAAGCAGAGGGAAGGAGUAAGCUGUUGUACCGUUUCUGCUGCACGUUGCCUGUCUUUGAUCAUUCCCAUGCACAGCUUGUGGCGUGCUGUGAGAUGGGUUUUCUUUCUGCAUCUUGUCCAGAUCACUUGUUUAACUGCAUCAGUUGGUCUCUUUCUUCAGCAGUUACAAGCUGGAACUGGAGUGCUUUACUUAAAGCAGAAGCUUAAAAAUCCAGCACUCCAGUUCAUCUACAGUUAAGGCUUUAAACCUAGAAGCAGUAUCUUUGUUUGCCGAGGGCAUGGGUAAACAGUUGAGGGAAAGGGGUGAUCCCACGUGCUGAACCGAGACAUUUGAAAAUAAUGUGGAGGAACAGAACAAGCUCCUCCGUAAUGCAAAUUCUCCUGUUAAUUUGUGGAGCCCGGGCCUAUGUUUGACUAGUCAGGUCUGCUACAGCACCUUCGGACUGCAGACAUUGGUAUUUUAUAAUGAUUUAGCAAAGCUAAAGCUCAUAGCUUACUGCAUGUGACAGAAUAUGUGAUCGUGGGGAAUCUUGAAACAAAAUUUUUGGUUCACUUUUUUAGUGAUUAUUGAGCCACACCCCAACAGAGAGACAGUAGCAGAGAGGUCUGACUCGCUACUCCUAACAAAGAGUAUGCCAUGUUUGCCUGGGUGUUUAAAGUUACACCUCAUGGUUGUUGUGUAUAUCCUUGGCUUUGUUAUGUUUUGUUUUCCUUUCCAGGAAGGAUUUGUUACGUCUUUGGUGUGAUCUCCUUGUGCAGAGAUAUGGCAUUUAAAAACAAUGAUUGAAUUAAGGUUGUUUCUGUUGGCAUAGCUCUUUUUUCCUUGUUUUUCAGCAUGCUUUUCUGGGACAUGUGUUUGGAGGGGGCUGCAAACCCCUGAACAGGACGUAGAUGGCAAAUCCUGUGCUGAUUUCAUUAGGAUUAGGAUCUUAGUGCUGCUCUCUAAAUCAGAGUUACUAUUUGGGCUUCUUCCUUUUUUUCUGAAAAGCAAUUACCACUAAUACCUUUGCUUUGUGUAGCUUCUGCUGCAUUUUUUUUUCCUUCAAUAGCUCACAGAGUAAGAAUUGCUUGGUAGGUCCCUGUGGAUUUUGGAUUGAUUUGCUGUGCAUUGGCACGGCUGCUCUUAAAGGUUUAUACCUUCCGCCAGAUGCUUGUUCUUCACCUCUCAGUUAUGCUUAUGCAGUUGUGAAUUGAACCAUUGAAAAAGACAGUGGAAUCUGCAUUUUGGUUAAAUCAGAUUGUUUUGCAGGUCUGGUUUAUUAUGGCAUCAGUACAGCUAUGAGAUGGUGAAACCAGAGCAAGGGUGUGGAUUGAGAAGUAUUGUUUAAACAAGGCUUAUAAGUGGAGAAAUUUUUAAUGGAACUCUACCUCUGUUGAGAGAACUGUGGAAGCUUUACUCAGGGGGUUGGUUCUUUUCCUUCCGUAAAAAUAGGUGAAAGGAUGCAGUUUUAUUCUUUAUCAAUAUUCUCCUGGCAGUCAGUUUCUGAAGUUUUGAAUUACUUAUGUUCAAUUAUGUUUUGACAAAAUGAGUUGUUUUUUCUUGGCUUAGCAAUACUGGAAGCUCAGGGGUUUUAUUAAGCUAACAAAGAAUGUGACCUGUGCAGUGUAAGCAGGAAGAUCAUCUUCUGUUGAGGAUUCUUCUGCCUUUUGUUGAUUUCAUAGCAUGCAUAAAAUGAGGAGAUUGGAGAUGAGUAACUCUGGCAUGUUACUCACAGUCACGUUCCAUCUCAGUCGAGAGUUGGUAAUAUGUUGCGUACAUACUGCAUGUUGGGUUUGUGUGUUGUUCUGCUGGACGUAUUGCUUACCGAAUGGAUAUGACUGCGAAGGAUUCAUUACCUGCUGAAGAUGAGAAGGCACAUAUGCAGCAAAGUCCUAACAACGGUUUUACUGGGAAGGAAACAGCAUAUCAGUUAUGUCUUCACAUGGCUUACCUUUCCUAUUUGAAGAGGCUUGCACACUAGCUGCUGGCUCAAAUAUAUUCCUGAUCCCGACGUUGCAGUGAAACUGUUGAUCUGAAAUGCAAAGAAACUGGGAAUAAACACAGAGCCCUCUUUCCAAAAGCCUUGUCAAAUCUGGCACAGAUGCACCCCUGUGCCUUGCAUAUCGUGAGUGACAGCGCAGCACAUUAGCUGAAACCCAGCAUCUUGAGAAAGUUUAAGGGCUUAGAUGUUGUGUUGUGGCAUGCGUGUAAGUUUGCCUCUGCUGUAAGGCCAGGAGCAUCCAGCCUGGGGAUAAAGCAGAUGCAGUACUGCCUUUCAAAGCUGGGUUUGAUGGAGGUGGUGAGUUGUAAUCGUAUUUAAUUUGAACUUAGACUUUCACCUUCAAAUCUUGUCAUUUGAUUAAUAUAGCAUAUUUUAAUUCAGAAAAUGAGCACGCAUGCAGAAAUAAAAAUCCUAUCAUGCACUUAUAUUUGAAGUUUCACUUCAUAACAUUUUUCUCUUCUGGAGGGAAUGAAAUAAAAACAAUUUAUUCACUAGAGUUUAAAACUAAAUGUGUGAAGUCAGUUUGAAGCAGGGAGACUAGGGGAAAAGUUUCCUGUCAUAGUCAUGCAGCUAAUUGUUGUUGAACACAUUGUAUUUCCAUCUAAGACCAUUCAUUGUAUCUGGAAUUUGAGAUGACUUGGUUAUCUGUCUGAGCAUUGCUUAAAAGCUGUGAAAUUGGAAUAAAAAGUGAAUAUGCAA